RNAcentral lists this long non-coding RNA (1722 nucleotides) under Homo sapiens (human). RNAcentral's name for it is "non-protein coding lnc-LGALSL-4:2". The record is from RNAcentral. Lineage: Eukaryota; Metazoa; Chordata; Mammalia; Primates; Hominidae.
UUCUGCAAUAACCAAAACCAAGGAGUAUAAAUAACAAUCAGGCUCUGGGGGAAUAGAAAGCUGGAGCAAAGAAAGGCCUGCUUUGUGGACUAUCUACAAGGAAUCACAGCAUACAUGCAUUGAAUGUACUCAAACUUCAGCUCCAUGCAUUUAUCACCAAAAUAUAGAACAAAGCAAAAAACUGUUUAAACACUAUACAUGGGUGCCAUGGCUCAUGCUUUAAUCCCAGAGCUUUGAGGGGCCAAGGCAGGAGGAUCACUUGAGGCCAGGAAUUGGAGACCAGCCUGGCCAACAUAGCAGGACCCUGUCUUUAAAAAUAAAAAUAAAAAUAAAUAAAUUAUCUAGAUGUGGUGGCACGUGCCUGUAAUCCCAGCUACCUGAGACUCUGUCUCAAAUAAAUCAAUAAAUAAAUACCACAGGGACAAUUCCACCUGUCAUCCCAUUGAAAGAAAAAGGAGCCGAAGAAUGGGGAUGUGAUUCAAAUGUGCCUUCAUCCCUUCCAUCACCUACAAAAAAAAAAAAAUAAAUGUUUGUUGAAUGAAUGAAUGGUAGCCAAGAUGUGGUAUUCAUUAUAUAUCACUGUGCAAAAAAUUAUUCCAAAAUUUAGAGGCUUAAAAUGAUAACAAACAGUUAAGAUCUCACAGAGUUUCUGUCAGGAAACUGGGAACAGCUUAGCUACAUAGUUCUAACUCAGGGUCUCUCAGGUUAUAUACAGUUAAGCUAUCAGCCAGAGCUGCAGUCACUUGAAGCCUUGAUUGGGGCUAGCGGAUUCACUUUUCAACGUGGCUCAUUCACAUAGCUGUUAGCCGCACGAAAUUCUCCACAGAACUGCCUGAGUGUAGUCACAACGUGGCAGCUGUGUUCCCUUUAGGGACUGAUACAAGAGUGAACAAGGUAGAAGCUGCAAUGUCUUUGAUGCCCUAGCCUCAGAGGCCACCCUUCCACAAUAUCCCAUUUCUUACAUAGGUUAGCCCUAUCCAAUGUGAGCAGGAACUACACAAGGUAUGAAUAUACCAGGAAGGGAAACUGUUGGGAGACAUCUUGGAGACCAGCUACACAGAUGGCUAAUUCUUGCAAAUUCUCAGAAUUAUUUGAGUGGUUGUAGAAUUCCUAGAAGGUAAAUGACAGUGGAGCCAGAGAAAUGCUGUUCAUGGCUAUUAUGUUUCCCUAGUAUUACAACCCCCACCCCCUACUACUGUUGCCUGGGAUUAGUGUUUUCUAUAGAAUGUCUUCACUUGUACAUCCAGAUCCUCAGAGUAAACUAUAACAAAGAGAGCAUGAAGAACCCAGAAAUUCCUAGUGGAUUGAAAAUAGCAAAAUUCCACUUAUGAAAUACGAUGACAAAGUCUUCCUAAAAUUAUGGUAGAGGGUAGAAAAUCAGUUCUUAUUGGGAACCUCAAACAAACAUAAAUGUUUUUGAGAAAAGUACUCAAUUUUUUUUUCAGUUCAAAGAGAAAUGUAACUACUCAGAAAAUGUGUGAGUUUUCCUUGUCUUCAAGUUUGAUGUUUGGUUUUAAUGGAAUUGGAUAGGAAGAUAGACUGAGGUAGCAAAAUCCAUUAGUAGCCUGCAUCAAAGGGCUCAGAUUCAAAUGCCUACAAGGGGAAAACAUGUGAUAUUAAAGAAGCAAAAUGGGCCACAUGGGCAGCUGCCACCCAGACCUAGCCAUUGUUGCCAUAAAUAAAUGUGAGCCCUUUAUUGCCAAAGCUUCUGGAUUUUCUUUU